RNAcentral lists this ribosomal RNA (377 nucleotides) under uncultured bacterium. RNAcentral's name for it is "bacterial SSU rRNA". It matches the Rfam family "Bacterial small subunit ribosomal RNA", at positions 521 to 896 of the family's 1533-position model. The record is from RNAcentral.
UAAUACGGAGGGGGCCAGCGUUGUUCGGAAUCAUUGGGCGUAAAGGGCGCGUAGGCGGCUCGGCAAGUCAGACGUGAAAUCCCGCGGCUCAACCGCGGAACUGCGUUUGAAACUGCCGGGCUUGAGUCCCGGAGAGGGUAGUGGAAUUCCCAGUGUAGCGGUGAAAUGCGUAGAUACUGGGAGGAACACCGGUGGCGAAGGCGGCUACCUGGACGGGUACUGACGCUGAGGCGCGAAAGCGUGGGGAGCAAACAGGAUUAGAUACCCUGGUAGUCCACGCUGUAAACGAUGGGCACUUGGUGUUGCGGGUAUCGACCCCUGCAGUGCCGAAGCUAACGCAUUAAGUGCCCCGCCUGGGGAGUACGGUCGCAAGGCUG